RNAcentral lists this long non-coding RNA (831 nucleotides) under Helianthus annuus (common sunflower). Its description in RNAcentral is "hypothetical non coding rna". Lineage: Eukaryota; Viridiplantae; Streptophyta; Magnoliopsida; Asterales; Asteraceae. The record is from RNAcentral.
UCAACACCACCACCACCGACACCGACACCACCCACCACUGUCUUACCACCGCUAUUGAAAACCCUCCAUCACCGUCUGACCUCCACCAUCAACACCACACCACCCACCACCAUCUCACCUCCACCAUCCACCCUUACCGCUGCAAAUAUAAUUUCCGGCCACUAAAAUAAUUCUCAAACUUUAACAAAUCAAGAAAUAACCUUUCAUUAGCCCACUCAAAUAUAAUUCUCAAACACAAAAGUCUGCUCUUUCAUUUCCAUUUUAAAGGCAAGACUCUAUAAAAUUCUCUCAACACAAACAACCACACGCACACUCUGUUUUCUUCUACAAUUAAGCAACAACAGCUCUAAACCAUCAAAUCAUUUAAAUCGUUUCAAACAAAAUCACCUUCAGAAACAAUGGAGUGGCUGCUGUAGGCGGUUUCAGCAAGAUCGAUUAAGCUUUUAUCAGCGGUGGAGGCGUACCCGGUAACUCUCGGAACUCUAUCUCUUGCCGUUGGAUCUGGACAGUUUGGUCCGGAUCUGUGUAUUUUUCGCCGGAUCUGCAAAGCUAUUUUGGUGGGGAUGAUGGUGGAUUGAGGGGACGAUGGUCGUGCGAUGGUGAGGAUGAUGGUGGUGUGGUGGUGCUGAUGAUGGUGCGGUAGGGAUGAUGGUGGUGCGGUGGUGGGGGUGGUGGUGGUGCGGUGAUGGUUAUGGUGAUGGGUUUGUAUAAUCAGAAAUGGAUUAUCUACAUAUAUAGAAUUUAUUUUUAUAUAGAUAUAUUAUAUUAAAAGUUUAUGCAUUAGACACUUGUUUCUUGUAUUCUUAUGCAUAUAAGACUUGUACUAUCUGU